UGACGUCACGCCCGGUGCCCCGUUUCCGGUGCGGAAGCCUGGUCUCCUCGCUUGGAGCGAACGGUCUGCGCUUGAGAAGGCGAGGCUCGAGGCCGGCCGGCGGAGCUCUCAGGGACGCAGGGAGGCCAGGUUGGCAGCAGCCACUCUCUCUGCGGCUGCACGUGGGAGAUGGAAAGCAGAAGGCUGACUCAAACCCUCCAAGACAGGUUGGCACCACUCCAGUGGUUUGGAACCAAACCCACGACGUGCCUGUACAUUCUGGCCAAGAGGAAGUAAAUGGAGGCAUGACGAGCGGCAUCUAGAAACUUCCGAAAACCUUCCCUAAGUGAUACUAUUCUUUGUCCCUCCAUCCUGCUGCCUGGAAUGAGGAUGCCACCAUCUGAGACCACGACCUUGAGAGCAAACUCCGUAGAGCAGAAAAGCAGCAGGAGCUUGGGUUCCUGACCAUGGGGUACCACAUUUGUCCUGGACCACCUGUGUGUCAUUUAUGUGAAAGAGGAACAAAUGUCUAUCUUGUUUCAGUUAUGUUAUUUUGGCGUUUCUGUCAUUCACAACCCAUCACCAUCCUAAUUUCUGCCUCUUUAGUAAAAGAGACCUAGGACUUUAGCCAACAGCUCCCUCCCUGCUCAGAGAGAGGCGAAUAGCAGAAUCGCAGUCCCAUGACAUACUGCCAUGAGGUAUUGUGAGGUGAUAUUUGUACCCAGUCUUUCUCAGAUGUUCAACCUGGGGUCCAUGGAGCCCUUGGGAAUUCUAAAGAAGGACUUUAGAGUGUCUAAGAACUAACUAACUGAAAUGUUUGCAACAUUUUAUGAAAAUGUGCAGAUAUGCAUUUUUCAGAAUUCAGAGCCUACAUCAGAUUCUCAAAGGGUGGAGGAUCUCAAGGGGGACCCAGGGAUCCAGUGAAAUGAAUACAGUGGGGAUAAAAGCAGGUUUGCAGGGGGAAACCUGCAAAGGUCGUCAUUCCUAAGGAUGCCAGGUCUUCUGGAUUCUGAGGUCCUUUCUUACCUGAAGAUGGAGGGACUUCUGGAUUUGAAGGAUCAUGGAGCACACCACCUACCACCUCCUUCAAGGUCUUAGAGGUCUUUGGAGCCUCAGUUCCACUCUUCUCUGCAGGUACUGUGGACUCUGGAUGCUCCCAGAUCUUCUUUCCAGCCAAUGAUACACUGGAAAGUGUAUUCCUGAGUGCUCCCCCCUCCAGAGUCAUGGCGUGUUCUGGAUUCCUGGAGCCUUUCUCUGCAGCCACAGUAGCCCCUGUGUUCAGAGUGGCUGCUGAGCCUGGAUUCUCACUUCUCAUUUUCUCUUGAAGCAGAAGAGUUUCUGGGUUGAGAGGUUCUGUCUCUCCUGGAGAAAUGGUAAAUUCAAGACUUUUGGGUCGCUUCUUUCCUGAAGAUUCAGAGGCUUUUCCAGCUGGGAAGACUCAGUGCCUUGUCAGACACGUGGUCGUCAGAACCCCAGCUCUCACUGACUUGGGCUGGACUGCAGAGUGGUGGAUAAGUCUUUGAGGAAGGGUCUGGGAUUGGAUUCCAGAUUCUGGAUCUUUGGGCAGGAAGUCAGAUGCUUCCCUCUCCCCUCCCAGGAUACGGGGGUGGGGGUGGGGUGAACAGAGCCCCUGGUCCCAUGCUGGAGAGAACCAUGAUGAAGGUCAGCCCCUCUGGCCAACUGCUCUCCUCCAGACUCUUGGGGUUUUAUUGACCCUCUGGAGCCAAUGACAGGGGGAUGGGGAGCAGCAAAUACAGCCCUGCAAGCUCUGCCCCUCCCUGCCCAAGAAGGCAGGUGAGGCCAGAAGGGCACCGCCAGGAGACAAGCCCUGGGGUCGCCCCUGUUGACGUAGUUCCAGUUGUCUGGUUCUUCCAGCAACACAAAGGCCUCGAAAUGCGACGCCUGGGGCCACCAUCCUGAUUUAUUUGUCCCAGCGCUAACUCUGCCGUGGCUUCCUGGGAGCAGACUCCGGAGGGAGGGUGUCAUGCAUGCAUGUGUACUGAACACAUGUUCUGGACCAGGAUGCUGGAGAAACAAGGGUGAAAAAGGCAUAGGCGUUCUUAGGGCUUGCAGCCCAGUAUGGGGCCCCAGCGGUGGCUCCGAAGCUAAUGGAGUUUGUAUGGGGGGAGCUGACUGCUUCCUCCGUUAACUGCUGUGUCUUUCUGCUACAUUGAUUUUUAUCCUCAACUUUUUGGUUCAAAGUAUUUCAAAUCCACAGAAAAUUUGAGAGCAUAGUACAAUGAACACUUAUAUACCCUUUACCUAGGUUCAGCAACCGUUUACAUUUCAUGUUUAGUGAUUCUCUCUCACACAUGCACACACUUUUUUGUUUUUUUGAAGCAUUUCAUAAUAAAUUGAAAACAUAUCAGAUAUCACUUCAAAUACCCUAGCUAUCCUAAAUACUAAGAAUGAGGAUACAAGGAUAUUAUUUUAUUAUUUAUUUAUUUAAAUUUUAUUUAUUUAUUUAUUUUUGGCUGCCCCCACGCAGCUUGUCAGAUCUUAUUUCCCGACCAGGAAUUGAACCCAGGCCCUCUGCAGUGAAAGUACCGAGUCCUAACCACUGGACCGCCAGGGAAUUCCCAAGGAUAUUAUUUUAAAUAAUCACAGUAGUAUUAUCACACUCAGGAAAUUUAAUGUUGUUACAAUACUACAAGGUUUCCAUAAUCAAAUUCCCCAAUUGUCCUGAUAAUGUCUUUGACAGCUUUUUUUUUUUUUGUCCCAAUCCAGGAUCCAAUCAGAGAUCCUGCAUUGCCUUUAGUUGCCAAGUCUCUGUAGUCUCCUUUUAUCUAGAACACUUUCACAUUCCCCUCACCUUUUAAAAUUCUUCCAAGACAUUAAUGUUUUUGAGGGCUUCUCUGGUGGCGUAGUGGUUAAGAAUCCUCCUGCCAACGCAGGGGACACGGGUUCGAGCCCUGGCCCGGGAAAAUCCCACAUGCCGCGGAGCAACUAAGCCGGUGCGCCCCAACUACUGAGCCUGCGCUCUAGAGCCCUUGAGCCACAACUACUGAAGCCCAGGCGCCUAGAGCCCCGUGCUCCGCAGCAAGAGAAGCCACCGCAAUGAGAAGCCCGCGCACCUCGACGAAGAGUAGUCCCCUGCUCGCUGCAACUAGAGAAAGCGCGCGCGGCAACGAAGACCCAACGCAGCCAAAAAAUAAAUUAAAUAAAUAAAUAAAUAUAAAAAAUAAAAAAUAAAGUGGGGACAGUGGGUGAGGUCUCAGACCUGGAGGCUUGCUUCGUCAAGCCCUCUUAUUAAAAAAAAAAAAAAAAAAGACAUUACUGUUUUUGAAAAGUCCGUUCCAAGCACAGUGUCCCUCAAUGUAGAUUUGUGUGAUUGUUUCCUCAUUAUUAGACUGAGGGUCCAUCCACGCCUCCUUGAGAUCUCUCCAUUGUAAAAGGCCAUUUUUUUCUUUGUAAUUAAUAUGGAACCUCGGUGUGUGGAAAGGUCUCGCUCCCUCACAAUCUUUCACCCCAUGGUGUUAGCCUUCAUUGAUGAUCCUUUCCUAAAUCAGUUGCUAGAGUGGUGGUUGCAAAAUGGUAUUUCUAUCACUUAGUUGGCAUCAUUUGCAUAUCCUGGUUUGAACUUUCUGUCUUCCUCAUAAAAUGUUUGGCUUACAGAUGUUUUGUUGGUAAUACAAUUACCCUUCAACGAUGCUUACUCUUUGCUUUUUUUUUUUUUUUUUUUUUUAGCUCUGUGCUUUAUAUCCAUUAUUCCCUAAAAUCUCUGCAGUAUCCCUUCAGUGCAGGAUUCAUCAUCUCCAUUUACAGCCGGGCUUAGAGACUUGCCCAGAGCCAGGGUUCAAACUCACUCUAUUAACCACUUUGCAGUAUUGUCUCCCUGCAUGAUGAUACUUUGUUAUUUUACUAUUAAUCACUAACCGUAGAUGUCACCUUUUCAGCGACCAACGAGGCUCAAAAUGGGCCAUGCUGACCAUUCCCUCAGGUCAGUGACAGCAUUCUGAUGCCUGGCUGAACAAACAGCCCCUCUGUAUGACCAACCUGGGAUCAAGGCUUCCAUGAGUUCUCGUUGGUUGAAUUUAUUUUAUUGUCUGAUUGGUCCAUGGGCUUUAUAUCUUACAGAGUAUUCAGUGUUUGGGGUUUAACAGCUGACAGCAUCCAGUUUUCUGGAUCCUGGUGAGAAAAUAAUACCCAAACCCAGCAACUUCCCUAAAAAAUGAAUGAACCCAAAUGCACCUUUAUGGUGCAAAUGUCAGAUGUGUGAAAUUCUCAGGUUGGGCCAGAAGGGUUUUAACUGGGGUUUCUCUGGGACCAGGACCUGUACAAGAUUCCGGAAAGCAGUCUCCCACUGCUGAGACAGAAAUGAUGAAAUCAUGCAAUGCCACAAAGCAUCCUUCGUGUUCCUGGGAUCUCUGACGCCGUCUUGUCUGGCCAGGAAACUCCUCUAAGCUAAGACUAAGGCAGCUACGACAGAAUCGGGUAGGAAGUGGGGCUUUCCAGUCUACAGCAGGAUAUUUUGCAAUUUCAGUGACACUUUUUGCAACAGGGGCAAUUCUGAAGCAGGGACUUCUUGAGAGGCAGUGUUUUGUUGCCACUGAGGCCUUUCUAGGUCAAGAGAGGUUCACAAAACUUCCAUUUUUUGAGGUUCCAGUGAUUUAAAAUGAAGAAAUGUGAAAAUAGGAUUAUAGUCCUUGGGAUGCAUUUUAAAUGUUUGAUUUAACAAGUAAAAUGGAUUGUUGAUGAACUCUUCUUUCUUGUACCUCUGUGACUAUACCUCUGUAACCUUCAAAGCAGAUUUCAGUCUUGUACCUCUGUGCCUUUAUUUGGGGACAUGACAAAUCUAAAACCAAUGCAACUGCUGCAAAGGGUCCAACUUUUGCUCUCCUCCUAAGUGAUGCACAGCUCAGACACCCGCAUCUUUUCUCCAUUCCUGGUCAUCAGGGGUAUCACUUUCUACCACAUUCAUUUUUGUAUCAUUUUGGGAUUUUAAAAUCAAUAUGUAUUACUUUUAUAAUAAAAAAGAUAGUUUUAAAAAAGUAUUUUAUAAUUAGCUUAGCUUCAAAGCUGAUUUCAGUCCUGUCCCCGCA
Molecule: long non-coding RNA, 5021 nt
Organism: Balaenoptera acutorostrata (minke whale)
Lineage: Eukaryota; Metazoa; Chordata; Mammalia; Artiodactyla; Balaenopteridae
Exons: 3
Source: RefSeq, a predicted model, not a curated record